RNAcentral lists this ribosomal RNA (482 nucleotides) under uncultured bacterium. RNAcentral's name for it is "partial 16S ribosomal RNA". It matches the Rfam family "Bacterial small subunit ribosomal RNA", at positions 30 to 507 of the family's 1533-position model. The record is from RNAcentral.
AUUGAACGCUGGCGGCAUGCUUUACACAUGCAAGUCGAACGGUAACAGGCCGCAAGGUGCUGACGAGUGGCGAACGGGUGAGUAAUGCAUCGGAACGUGCCCAGUCGUGGGGGAUAACUACUCGAAAGAGUAGCUAAUACCGCAUACGAUCUAUGGAUGAAAGCGGGGGACCGCAAGGCCUCGCGCGAUUGGAGCGGCCGAUGUCAGAUUAGGUAGUUGGUGGGGUAAAGGCUCACCAAGCCAACGAUCUGGAGCUGGUCUGAGAGGACAACCAGCCACACUGGGACUGAGACACGGCCCAGACUCCUACGGGAGGCAGCAGUGGGGAAUUUUGGACAAUGGGCGCAAGCCUGAUCCAGCAAUGCCGCGUGCAGGAAGAAGGCCUUCGGGUUGUAAACUGCUUUUGUACGGAACGAAACGGCUCUGGUUAAUACCCGGGGCUAAUGACGGUACCGUAAGAAUAAGCACCGGCUAACUACGUG